GAUGAACGCUGGCGGCGUGCCUAAUACAUGCAAGUCGAGCGAACAGACGAGGAGCUUGCUCCUCUGACGUUAGCGGCGGACGGGUGAGUAACACGUGGAUAACCUACCUAUAAGACUGGGAUAACUUCGGGAAACCGGAGCUAAUACCGGAUAAUAUAUUGAACCGCAUGGUUCAAUAGUGAAAGACGGUUUUGCUGUCACUGAUAGAUGGAUCCGCGCCGGAUUAGCUAGUUGGUAAGGUAACGGCUUACCAAGGCAACGAUGCGUAGCCGACCUGAGAGGGUGAUCGGCCACACUGGAACUGAGACACGGUCCAGACUCCUACGGGAGGCAGCAGUAGGGAAUCUUCCGCAAUGGGCGAAAGCCUGACGGAGCAACGCCGCGUGAGUGAUGAAGGUCUUCGGAUCGUAAAACUCUGUUAUUAGGGAAGAACAAAUGUGUAAGUAACUAUGCACGUCUUGACGGUACCUAAUCAGAAAGCCACGGCUAACUACGUG
Molecule: ribosomal RNA, 497 nt
Filed under: uncultured bacterium
Lineage: Bacteria
Description: partial 16S ribosomal RNA
Rfam family: Bacterial small subunit ribosomal RNA
Source: RNAcentral